AGAUGGCUGGAGGAAUGAAGGACAGGAAUACAUGAAAUAUACUGUAUAUUACAGGAGUCUUUACUGCAAGAGAGGGUGAUUAAAAAAAUAACCUUAAACUGUCACACUGUUUUUCAGUUUUGUAUUAAAAACAUAUGCUGUAACUACUAUAAAUUAUUACAUGUAUGUGGUAUAACAUAUAUAUAUGAAGUUAUACGAAAUACAAUAUAUGAGGUACAUCUUUGUUUUUUGAUCCUUAACCACACUGCUCACUUAGUGCUGCACCAGAGCAUGCAGAGAGUCUUCAUGAUAUAAUGACAUAUUCUUUAACACUGAGAAAGAACUGCUGUCCGAGUUUACUGUCAUUGAAAACCUAUGCCCCAAUUCAAGUGGAACACGCAUCAUCAUCUGGAACCUACACAGAGGAUCUUCAGGAGAGUUAGAAUUUGAUUUCAAGAAGGAUCCCUAUGACAUGCGGAUCCCUGUUGAGGUGUACGAGAGCACUAGGGCACAAACCAGGUGGCAAGAAGAGAGUGGCAUUUCAGUGCCUAAGAGUGAAUAUUCACUGCGGGUGAGAAUUUAACAAGAAAACGACGUGAGAGAGUUGAUAUGCAGGUGAUUGAAAAUGUGCUAAUUUCUGAACUGAAUUGAAUUUUUGCAACAGCUCCUAUUCAAAUCUGCAGGUACAGUCUCAAAAUUAAGUUCAACUACUGAUCAAUGUAUAGUCAAAGCUGUUUAUUUCUCUCUUACUUCAGGCAUACUGUAGUAUUCUAUACCUGAAGCCAAGAAUGCAGAUUGUUAUCCAAGGCCAGAAAGUGGAAAGUCAGUUUGUCACAAAGAGUCUAGUAAAUGUCUUCACAGACAAAUACAAACCUGCUGGUCUUAAAAAGGGAAUAACAAUCACAUUUGGCUACAACACGAAGAGCAAAGAUCACUACGGAUUGAUGAUGUACAACAAAAACCGCCUAAUCAAAGCCUAGGAGCGUGUCGCCUGCCAGCGCAAGGCUAACGGCACAGGAGAAGGAGUUAUCGGGGUGUUAGAAUGUAACCAUCUCACACCAAUUCACAACAAGCAGGACUUUGAUAAUAAUGAAGAAUACAGGAAAACCAUGAUAAUUGUAGGUAUGAAGCUUGAGCAAUAUUGGAAGGAACUUCACUAUAGACAUAAGACAUGCAGCGAAGAACCUUUUGAGGAUACUGUAUCAACUCCUGAACAAAACUGGGUUCAGUGUAAUGAUUGUUUGAAGUGGCGAAAACUUCCAGAUGGUGUUGAUGGUAAAAAACUGCCUGAAAAGUGGUUCUGCCACAUGAACGCUGACCUUCAAUUCAGGUGCCUUUGUGUAUCUCUUUCUAUUUCUGUUUAUGUGUAUUUGUGUGUGUUCUCAUGUAAAUGAUAACGUGAUUCCAUCAGGAGUUGUACAGAUGAAGAAGAGCUUGAUGAGUCUAAUGAUGAACAACCUAAUUGCUGGAAAAUCUACAAAAAACAGUGAGGAAUAGUUCCUGUCAUAUACAUAGAUAAGUCUAAUAUCAUACAUUUCUUUUGAGGUUAUACAGUCAGGUCCAUAAAUAUUUGAACAUUGACAAAGUUAUUGUUUUUUUUUUAGCUGUCUACAACAGCAAUUGGAGGUGGAUUUAUGUAAUGAAAAUAAUAACAAACUGUAAACUUCCAGGUUUUAUUUAAGGGUAUGUAAAUUCAAUUCAGUUGAAAGUUAAAGGAAAUGACAUCACUUUGUGUAUUUGCCAUCUAAAUUUUUUUAAAGCCAAAAGUAAUCAAAUUGUUAUUACAUGAUGAGCUCCAGAAUUAUUUUCUUUUACUUAGGCAGGUUUCACUGUUCAGUUGAUUGACUGAAUAAACAGGAUGUUGCACAUAGCAUUCUGAAAUAAAAAAGGCAAACAUUUCAUAUAUCAACAAUCUGUGCAAUGCAGAAAGUCUAAGAGCUGUUUUAUGUAUUAUGACUGCUGUU
Long non-coding RNA from Tachysurus fulvidraco (yellow catfish), 1943 nucleotides. RefSeq lists it as uncharacterized. Lineage: Eukaryota; Metazoa; Chordata; Actinopteri; Siluriformes; Bagridae. The transcript has 6 exons. The record is from RefSeq and is a predicted model, not a curated record.